AGUGAACGCUGGCGGUAGGCCUAACACAUGCAAGUCGAACGGCAGCACAGUAAGAGCUUGCUCUUACGGGUGGCGAGUGGCGGACGGGUGAGGAAUACAUCGGAAUCUGCUUUUUCGUGGGGGAUAACGUAGGGAAACUUACGCUAAUACCGCAUACGACCUACGGGUGAAAGCAGGGGAUCUUCGGACCUUGCGCGAUUGAAUGAGCCGAUGUCGGAUUAGCUAGUUGGCGGGGUAAAGGCCCACCAAGGCGACGAUCCGUAGCUGGUCUGAGAGGAUGAUCAGCCACACUGGAACUGAGACACGGUCCAGACUCCACGGGAGGCAGCAGUGGGGAAUAUUGGACAAUGGGCGCAAGCCUGAUCCAGCCAUACCGCGUGGGUGAAGAAGGCCUUCGGGUUGUAAAGCCCUUUUGUUGGGAAAGAAAAGCAGCAGGUUAAUACCCCGCUGUUCUGACGGUACCCAAAGAAUAAGCACCGGCUAACUUCGUG
RNAcentral lists this ribosomal RNA (491 nucleotides) under uncultured bacterium. Its description in RNAcentral is "partial 16S ribosomal RNA". It matches the Rfam family "Bacterial small subunit ribosomal RNA", at positions 29 to 507 of the family's 1533-position model. The record is from RNAcentral.